This 1132-nucleotide ribosomal RNA is filed under the name bacterium EY5. RNAcentral describes it as "bacterial SSU rRNA". It matches the Rfam family "Bacterial small subunit ribosomal RNA", at positions 192 to 1310 of the family's 1533-position model. The record is from RNAcentral.
UUUCAAUCAUAAAAGGUGGCUUUUAGCUACCACUUACAGAUGGACCCGCGGCGCAUUAGCUAGUUGGUGAGGUAACGGCUCACCAAGGCGACGAUGCGUAGCCGACCUGAGAGGGUGAUCGGCCACACUGGGACUGAGACACGGCCCAGACUCCUACGGGAGGCAGCAGUAGGGAAUCUUCCGCAAUGGACGAAAGUCUGACGGAGCAACGCCGCGUGAGUGAUGAAGGUUUUCGGAUCGUAAAACUCUGUUGUUAGGGAAGAACAAGUACCGUUCGAAUAGGGCGGUACCUUGACGGUACCUAACCAGAAAGCCACGGCUAACUACGUGCCAGCAGCCGCGGUAAUACGUAGGUGGCAAGCGUUGUCCGGAAUUAUUGGGCGUAAAGCGCGCGCAGGCGGUUUCUUAAGUCUGAUGUGAAAGCCCCCGGCUCAACCGGGGAGGGUCAUUGGAAACUGGGGAACUUGAGUGCAGAAGAGGAGAGUGGAAUUCCACGUGUAGCGGUGAAAUGCGUAGAGAUGUGGAGGAACACCAGUGGCGAAGGCGACUCUCUGGUCUGUAACUGACGCUGAGGCGCGAAAGCGUGGGGAGCGAACAGGAUUAGAUACCCUGGUAGUCCACGCCGUAAACGAUGAGUGCUAAGUGUUAGAGGGUUUCCGCCCUUUAGUGCUGCAGCAAACGCAUUAAGCACUCCGCCUGGGGAGUACGGUCGCAAGACUGAAACUCAAAGGAAUUGACGGGGGCCCGCACAAGCGGUGGAGCAUGUGGUUUAAUUCGAAGCAACGCGAAGAACCUUACCAGGUCUUGACAUCCUCUGACAACCCUAGAGAUAGGGCUUCCCCUUCGGGGGCAGAGUGACAGGUGGUGCAUGGUUGUCGUCAGCUCGUGUCGUGAGAUGUUGGGUUAAGUCCCGCAACGAGCGCAACCCUUGAUCUUAGUUGCCAGCAUUCAGUUGGGCACUCUAAGGUGACUGCCGGUGACAAACCGGAGGAAGGUGGGGAUGACGUCAAAUCAUCAUGCCCCUUAUGACCUGGGCUACACACGUGCUACAAUGGGCAGAACAAAGGGCAGCGAAGCCGCGAGGCUAAGCCAAUCCCACAAAUCUGUUCUCAGUUCGGAUCGCAGUCUGCAA